GGCUGGAUAGCAUAGUGGAUUGAUGCAAAAGACUGCAACUCUUUUUACAGGAGUUCGAUUCUCCUUCUAGCCU
This 73-nucleotide transfer RNA is filed under the name Goniomonas avonlea. Its description in RNAcentral is "tRNA-Cys". It matches the Rfam family "tRNA". Rfam says of the family: Transfer RNA (tRNA) molecules are approximately 80 nucleotides in length. Their secondary structure includes four short double-helical elements and three loops (D, anti-codon, and T loops). Lineage: Eukaryota; Cryptophyceae; Goniomonadida; Goniomonadaceae. The record is from RNAcentral.